This 468-nucleotide ribosomal RNA is filed under the name uncultured bacterium. Its description in RNAcentral is "partial 16S ribosomal RNA". It matches the Rfam family "Bacterial small subunit ribosomal RNA", at positions 28 to 507 of the family's 1533-position model. The record is from RNAcentral.
GAUGAACGCUGGCGGCGUGCUUAACACAUGCAAGUCGAACGGUGAAGGCGGAGCUUGCUCUGCUGGAUCAGUGGCGAACGGGUGAGUAACACGUGAGCAAUCUGCCCCUGACUCUGGGAUAAGCGCUGGAAACGGCGUCUAAUACUGGAUACGAGCUGCGAAGGCAUCUUCAGCAGCUGGAAAGAAUUUCGGUCAGGGAUGAGCUCGCGGCCUAUCAGCUUGUUGGUGAGGUAAUGGCUCACCAAGGCGUCGACGGGUAGCCGGCCUGAGAGGGUGACCGGCCACACGGGGACUGAGACAGGGCCCAGACUCCUACGGGAGGCAGCAGUGGGGAAUAUUGCACAAUGGGCGAAAGCCUGAUGCAGCAACGCCGCGUGAGGGACGACGGCCUUCGGGGUGUAAACCUCUUUUAGCAGGGAAGAAGCGAAAGUGACGGUACCUGCAGAAAAAGCGCCGGCUAACUACGUG